RNAcentral lists this long non-coding RNA (204 nucleotides) under Carica papaya (papaya). RNAcentral's name for it is "long non-coding RNA (CPAP_LNC014151)". Lineage: Eukaryota; Viridiplantae; Streptophyta; Magnoliopsida; Brassicales; Caricaceae. The record is from RNAcentral.
AGCGGCGCCGCCGCGCCCCCCCUCUAUUUUUGCCUCCGAUGAGGCCCUUCCCGGCCUUCGUUCGAUGCAAAUUUUAUACCACUGUGAUCACCGUUCUUUUCUCUACAGGUUGAUCGGAGCCAAACAUCAAAAUGCGACUCAUGUUGGAGGAGCCGCCGCACCUGAGAGCACUGCCGCCGGUAAGUUUUAGUUUUUCGUGAUUUU